This 2900-nucleotide ribosomal RNA is filed under the name Klebsiella pneumoniae BIDMC 22. Its description in RNAcentral is "bacterial LSU rRNA". It matches the Rfam family "Bacterial large subunit ribosomal RNA". The record is from RNAcentral. Lineage: Bacteria; Pseudomonadati; Pseudomonadota; Gammaproteobacteria; Enterobacterales; Enterobacteriaceae.
UUAAGCGACUAAGCGUACACGGUGGAUGCCCUGGCAGUCAGAGGCGAUGAAGGACGUGCUAAUCUGCGAAAAGCGUCGGUAAGGUGAUAUGAACCGUUAUAACCGGCGAUGUCCGAAUGGGGAAACCCAGUGCAAUUCGUUGCACUAUCGUUAACUGAAUACAUAGGUUAACGAGGCGAACCGGGGGAACUGAAACAUCUAAGUACCCCGAGGAAAAGAAAUCAACCGAGAUUCCCCCAGUAGCGGCGAGCGAACGGGGAGCAGCCCAGAGUCUGAAUCAGCUUGUGUGUUAGUGGAACGGUCUGGAAAGUCCGACGGUACAGGGUGAUAGUCCCGUACACCAAAAUGCACAGGCUGUGAACUCGAAGAGUAGGGCGGGACACGUGGUAUCCUGUCUGAAUAUGGGGGGACCAUCCUCCAAGGCUAAAUACUCCUGACUGACCGAUAGUGAACCAGUACCGUGAGGGAAAGGCGAAAAGAACCCCGGCGAGGGGAGUGAAAAAGAACCUGAAACCGUGUACGUACAAGCAGUGGGAGCACCUUCGGGUGUGACUGCGUACCUUUUGUAUAAUGGGUCAGCGACUUAUAUUCUGUAGCAAGGUUAACCGUAUAGGGGAGCCGCAGGGAAACCGAGUCUUAACUGGGCGUUAAGUUGCAGGGUAUAGACCCGAAACCCGGUGAUCUAGCCAUGGGCAGGUUGAAGGUUGGGUAACACUAACUGGAGGACCGAACCGACUAAUGUUGAAAAAUUAGCGGAUGACUUGUGGCUGGGGGUGAAAGGCCAAUCAAACCGGGAGAUAGCUGGUUCUCCCCGAAAGCUAUUUAGGUAGCGCCUCGUGAACUCAUCUUCGGGGGUAGAGCACUGUUUCGGCUAGGGGGUCAUCCCGACUUACCAACCCGAUGCAAACUACGAAUACCGAAGAAUGUUAUCACGGGAGACACACGGCGGGUGCUAACGUCCGUCGUGAAGAGGGAAACAACCCAGACCGCCAGCUAAGGUCCCAAAGUCAUGGUUAAGUGGGAAACGAUGUGGGAAGGCACAGACAGCCAGGAUGUUGGCUUAGAAGCAGCCAUCAUUUAAAGAAAGCGUAAUAGCUCACUGGUCGAGUCGGCCUGCGCGGAAGAUGUAACGGGGCUAAACCAUGCACCGAAGCUGCGGCAGCGACACUAUGUGUUGUUGGGUAGGGGAGCGUUCUGUAAGCCUGCGAAGGUGUGCUGUGAGGCAUGCUGGAGGUAUCAGAAGUGCGAAUGCUGACAUAAGUAACGAUAAAGCGGGUGAAAAGCCCGCUCGCCGGAAGACCAAGGGUUCCUGUCCAACGUUAAUCGGGGCAGGGUGAGUCGACCCCUAAGGCGAGGCCGAAAGGCGUAGUCGAUGGGAAACAGGUUAAUAUUCCUGUACUUGGUGUUACUGCGAAGGGGGGACGGAGAAGGCUAUGUUAGCCGGGCGACGGUUGUCCCGGUUUAAGCAUGUAGGCUGGUUGUCCAGGCAAAUCCGGAUAAUCAAGGCUGAGGUGUGAUGACGAGGCACUACGGUGCUGAAGUAACAAAUGCCCUGCUUCCAGGAAAAGCCUCUAAGCAUCAGGUAACAUCAAAUCGUACCCCAAACCGACACAGGUGGUCAGGUAGAGAAUACCAAGGCGCUUGAGAGAACUCGGGUGAAGGAACUAGGCAAAAUGGUGCCGUAACUUCGGGAGAAGGCACGCUGGUGUGUAGGUGAAGUCCCUGCGGAUGGAGCUGAGACCAGUCGAAGAUACCAGCUGGCUGCAACUGUUUAUUAAAAACACAGCACUGUGCAAACACGAAAGUGGACGUAUACGGUGUGACGCCUGCCCGGUGCCGGAAGGUUAAUUGAUGGGGUUAUCCGUAAGGAGAAGCUCUUGAUCGAAGCCCCGGUAAACGGCGGCCGUAACUAUAACGGUCCUAAGGUAGCGAAAUUCCUUGUCGGGUAAGUUCCGACCUGCACGAAUGGCGUAAUGAUGGCCAGGCUGUCUCCACCCGAGACUCAGUGAAAUUGAACUCGCUGUGAAGAUGCAGUGUACCCGCGGCAAGACGGAAAGACCCCGUGAACCUUUACUAUAGCUUGACACUGAACAUUGAGCCUUGAUGUGUAGGAUAGGUGGGAGGCUUUGAAGCGUGGACGCCAGUCUGCGUGGAGCCAACCUUGAAAUACCACCCUUUAAUGUUUGAUGUUCUAACGUUGGCCCCUGACCGGGGUUGCGGACAGUGUCUGGUGGGUAGUUUGACUGGGGCGGUCUCCUCCCAAAGCGUAACGGAGGAGCACGAAGGUUAGCUAAUCCUGGUCGGACAUCAGGAGGUUAGUGCAAUGGCAUAAGCUAGCUUGACUGCGAGCGUGACGGCGCGAGCAGGUGCGAAAGCAGGUCAUAGUGAUCCGGUGGUUCUGAAUGGAAGGGCCAUCGCUCAACGGAUAAAAGGUACUCCGGGGAUAACAGGCUGAUACCGCCCAAGAGUUCAUAUCGACGGCGGUGUUUGGCACCUCGAUGUCGGCUCAUCACAUCCUGGGGCUGAAGUAGGUCCCAAGGGUAUGGCUGUUCGCCAUUUAAAGUGGUACGCGAGCUGGGUUUAGAACGUCGUGAGACAGUUCGGUCCCUAUCUGCCGUGGGCGCUGGAGAAUUGAGGGGGGCUGCUCCUAGUACGAGAGGACCGGAGUGGACGCAUCACUGGUGUUCGGGUUGUCAUGCCAAUGGCACUGCCCGGUAGCUAAAUGCGGAAGAGAUAAGUGCUGAAAGCAUCUAAGCACGAAACUUGCCCCGAGAUGAGUUCUCCCUGAGACUUUAAGUCUCCUGAAGGAACGUUGAAGACGACGACGUUGAUAGGCCGGGUGUGUAAGCGCAGCGAUGCGUUGAGCUAACCGGUACUAAUGAGCCGUGAGGCUUAACCUU